UUUCCGUAGGUGAACCUGCGGAAGGAUCAUUGUCGAAACCUGCC
Molecule: ribosomal RNA, 44 nt
Filed under: Elatine hydropiper
Lineage: Eukaryota; Viridiplantae; Streptophyta; Magnoliopsida; Malpighiales; Elatinaceae
Also listed under: 20 other names
Description: partial 18S ribosomal RNA
Source: RNAcentral